Long non-coding RNA from Bactrocera dorsalis (oriental fruit fly), 249 nucleotides. RefSeq lists it as uncharacterized. The record is from RefSeq and is a predicted model, not a curated record. Lineage: Eukaryota; Metazoa; Arthropoda; Insecta; Diptera; Tephritidae. The transcript has 2 exons.
UAAAACAAGUAAGGAAGGGCUAAGUUCGGGUGUCACCGAACAUUUUAUACUCUCGCAUGAUAAAGUGAUAAUCGAGAUUUCAUUAUCCUGCAGCUUCCUUCUGCCAUUUCUUCCGUAAAAUUUAGUGUUUCUGACGUUUUUUGUUAGUCGGUUAACGCACUUUUAGUGAUUUUCAACAUAACCUUUGUAUGGGAGGUGGGCGUGGUUAUUAUCCGAUUUCUUCCAUUUUUGAACUGUAUAUGGAAAUAA